Molecule: long non-coding RNA, 994 nt
Organism: Vollenhovia emeryi
Lineage: Eukaryota; Metazoa; Arthropoda; Insecta; Hymenoptera; Formicidae
Exons: 3
Source: RefSeq, a predicted model, not a curated record
UAUAAUCAACGUCCUCCCAUUAUAUUUUUAGCAAGUACAAGUAAUGAAAGCGUGAGAAGACGUUUAUUGGAAACGGAAAAUAAUCGGUAUAGGGAGCAAAAUACAAUAGAUGACAACGAUAUGUCAAAUGAAGACGAAAUUGUCGCAGUACAGUUAAAUAAUAAGCAAGUGAAAAUAAAACGGAUAAAGGAUGCUUUGAACUUUGAAGAUUCUUAUGAUAUUCAUAAGCGUUAUGAUAAAAUAUCAAAUACAAGAGUAAGACAUUUGUUUAUUUAUUUUCCUUAUAUGUAAAACUAUUACAUUGGCCUUCUCUACUGUGUGUACUACUUUUAUUAAUUAUGGUAGCCUUGUUAUUUUCAAAAUAUAUAUUUUUAACAGAUAUACUUAGGAGAAAACAUAUCGGUUAGUCAACUGUCUUGGGAAAUGACAAAACUGCGUAGAAAGCCUUCUUUGUUUUUGCAUGAUGUAUUGCUUUACAUUUGGCCAUACAAUAUUCUUAAAAAUAGAUGCCUUGACGAAAACAAAACGUAUUAUAAGCCAUCUAGUGGCACAGUUAAAGAACUUAGUCCGCGGAAACUAUCUUUAGCAUUAAGUAUAUAAACAUUUUUCUUUAUACCAUCCCAUUAUCUAUUUAUUAUGUUUUAAUACUUUCAUUGAUUGUUUUGUAGGUUUGUAUAAUGACCACCUGAUUGAGUUGAAUAUGAAUGAUACAAUAAGAUUUGAACAUUUGAAUGAUUCGUUCAAAAUGAUUACAAUAAAAAUAAGAGAUGUCAGAAAGAAAUAUGCAUACGGAUCAGAGAGAGAACAAUAUGAAAGAAGAGUUGAAACGGACAAUUAAAAUAGAUGUGAUAUAGCAGCAACAAAAUGUGUUGACGACUGGGUGGUCGCUCCAACGAAACGGGAGUUAUACUUCUUAUUUUAUUUAUCUCUUAGAAGUCACACAUUUUUUUUCGAACGAAUCAGUCACACUGGGUCUAUGUGACCCCAGCAAUUU